ACACCUCAACUCUCGUGGCCUUGCCAUGAUGAGCUUGGACUUUGGGGGUCUUGCUGGCCUAUGGUUGGCUCCUCUCAAAAGAAUUAGCUUGCCAGUGUUUGGUGGCAUCACGGGUGUGAUAACUAUCUACGCUUGUGGUUUUCCAUCAGGUAACCGUAACCUUCAGUGGUGAGGGUUCGCUGGGGCUCAUAAACGUCUCUCCUCGGUGAGGACAGCUCUUUGAAC
This 225-nucleotide unclassified non-coding RNA is filed under the name Tomentella bryophila. RNAcentral's name for it is "partial internal transcribed spacer 2". Lineage: Eukaryota; Fungi; Basidiomycota; Agaricomycetes; Thelephorales; Thelephoraceae. The record is from RNAcentral.